GACGAACGCUGGCGGCGUGCUUAACACAUGCAAGUCGAACGGGCCUUGUCCCCUUUUUUUUUGGGGGUGGGGUUAGUGGCGAACGGGUGAGUAACACGUGAGUAACCUGCCCCUCACUUCUGGAUAACCGCUUGAAAGGGUGGCUAAUACGGGGUGUUCUGGCCUGCUCGCAUGGGUGGGUUUGGAAAGAUUCGACCGGUUUUUGUUGUUUUGGUGGGGGAUGGGCUCGCGGCCUAUCAGCUUGUUGGUGGGGUGAUGGCCUGCCAAGGCUUUGACGGGUGGCCGGCCUGAGGGGGUGGGCGGUCACACUGGGACUGAGACACGGCCCAGACUCCUACGGGAGGCAGCAGUGGGGAAUAUUGCACAAUGGGCGCAAGCCUGAUGCAGCGCCGCCGCGUGAGGGAUGGAGGCCUUCGGGUUGUGAACCUCUUUCGCCAGUGAAGAAGGUCCUGCUCUUUGUGGUGGGGUUGACGGUAGCUGGGUUAAUGAAGCGCCGGCUAACUACGUG
Molecule: ribosomal RNA, 508 nt
Filed under: uncultured bacterium
Lineage: Bacteria
Description: partial 16S ribosomal RNA
Rfam family: Bacterial small subunit ribosomal RNA
Source: RNAcentral